UUCCUUUGAGCAAGAACCAAUGAGCUUCAUUGUCUCUUCUCUCUCCGCGCCCUUACUGUCCUACUUUCACACGCACAACUCCACUGAAUUCCCCAUUAAGCUGCUCCAUCUCCACAGACUCUCUCUCUCGCUAACUCACGCUCACACUUCACCAAACAACUCUGCUCCCUCUUCUUUGGUUUUUCUUUCGAAAUUCAGCCAGCAGCCCACACCAGCUGCUUCCUCCUACGAAGCCGCGGCCCCACCAAGUCAACCAUCAACAUUUUGUCUCCCCAAAAGUGGACUUCUCUGCCGCUGAAGCCCACGAUUCCUCUCUAUCGAAGCAACUGCAGCUCGUCUCUCUCUCUCGGUCGUCCGUGCCUCUCCUCCAGCAGCACGCAUCCACGAAGUCACCGAGUCAACCUUGCGUUCCCCAGCUGGUCGAUUGACCGCACGCGUCCAACAGCUGCCAGCGACACCGGCUGCUUCCGUUUUCUUGUUCAGCUCGCCAAUUGAAGUCUACGAACAGCCCAGCAAUUUCAUCCCACAAAUUCCUCUUCACGAACGUGCAACUCCACUUCUUUUUGUUGCUGCCAGCAAAGACAGCCAGCUUCCACCGAACAAAAUCUCCUCUGCACUCUCCACCAUCUGUGACUGAAGACCCUUCCUCUUGUGCCAUCGCCCGAAGCUGCUUCUGUCUUCCUGUUCGGGGCCCAGCACGUGCAAGCAGCUCCUUUAGCCCAUCGAACCCACUAGUGCAGCAAGCCCACGAGCCCAACAAGUCAGCCCAUCUCCAGCAAUCCUCAAGCCCAGCAAAUUUAAGUCUAGUUGGGCCCAAAAGUCCAGCAAUUCAACCACUUGAAGCCCAGCCCAGCUUCAGCAAAGACAUGCCCAGUUCAGCUUUGUUUCAAGCCCAUUUCAGCCCAGUCUUGAAGCCCAGAUCAAGUUCAGCCCAAGAAUUCCGGCAGGCCCAAGCCCAGAUAUUUCUGUGGGCUUGCAAAGUUUCUUGGUCCAGCCCGAGUGAUCGUUGACGUCGCCGAAAAUUCGGAUUUUGGCCGUCGCGUCACUAUCGCGGUGUCCCGGUCCCCGCUUGUAUCAAGUGAGUUUUACUCACUAAUGCUUUCUUAGGUUGCUAAUUAUGCUUAGGGGUUGGUUAGAUUUAAUUAAAUGCAAUUAGGUGGUUAGAUUAGUCUAGAACAAUUAAAUUAGUGACUUAACGAUGCAUGUUAGGUGGUUAGACUUAGUCAUUAGCAAGUAGCGAUGUACUUUUAUUUAUUGAACGUAUCUCGGGAUUUUUCCCGAUCCAUUUUGGCGUCCAAUCAGGCAUUAUGAACUUAAAUUGGAUUUUUAGUAUUUAUUUAUUUAUUUUUCGAAAUUAAUUAAUUAAUUUUUUUUUCGGGAAAUUCAACCAGGAUGGUUGGGGAUCGGAAUUUUAUGCUAAUUGUCGUGGUGCAGUCCGUUUAUUUAAUUGAGCUCUAUUUCAUGUUGAAUUGAAUUAUUUGUGAAAGAAGGAAUUAUUCUUUAAUUGAAUAAUCUUUGAUUAUUAAUUAAAAAAGAACUGGGCAUCGGGUGAUAAUGCCAAAAGGAUCUGAGUGGGAUAUAGAAAAUGGUGGGAUUUAUAAAAAGGAAAUUAUUAUAUUUUGGCUAAGGCCGAUCGUGUACCACACACGUUAUUUUAUCGGAAAGGAUAAAACUGGUUAUUUGAUUGUUUGCUUGGAAUGACAUGUAUACCCGCUCGAUGACUCCAUGGAGCAUCUUGAGACAGGACAGUAUGAUCUACCGGCUCGAUGACUCUACGGAGCAUCUGGAGACAGUACGGUAUGAUAAAUUGUGUGUAUACUGACUCGAUGACUCCACGGACCAUCUUGAGAUAGGACGGUAUGAUCUACCGGCUCGAUGUCUCUACGGAGCAUCUGGAGACAGUACGGUAUGAUAAAUUGUGUGUAUAGCGGCUCGAUGACUCCAUGGAGCAUCUUGAGACAGGACGGUAUAAUCUACCGGCUCGAUGACUCUACGGAGCAUCUAGAGACAGUACGGUGUGAUUUGAUAGCUCGAUGACUCUAUAUGUCGUCUGGAGAUAAGAUAACAUACUAUCUAUAUAUCACCUAGGGUGAGUAGUCUUGGAUGUUGAUCAGACUUAUAGAAAGUAUGGAAGGGGUCGAUCAAGAGAUAAUUUGGAUGACUUGUAAUCGACUAGGUCGAUUGAUCGAUGAUUCGAUCUGAUUGGGUGAUGCAAUGUGAUGAGGUAUAUUUGAUAUAUAUACUAACUUGCAGGAAGGAGCUGAGGCCAAGGUAAGUCCUCUAACUCGUGAUGUGCUUAGGCAGCCUAAGGUGUAUUAGUUUACUAAUCGGGUAUUAUGGGGUAGAAUUCGCUGAGACAUGGUCUCAUUGGUUAUUGAAUAACCAUUUUAGGACCUUGAGGAGAAGCUGAAGAGGAGGAACCUGAAGGGGAGAAAGACUUUUAAAGAAGCAGAUGAUCCAGAGAGGGAUCUUGAGUAUAACCCGGAUGUGGAUUGAGAUCCCAUCCCUUUUGUAAACCCUGUCUUAGUGUAGAUAGGUGUGAGACAAGUAUGCUGUAAAUAGUAUCGUAAAUAUACUAUGAGUUGUGUCGUUAAUAAAAGUGUGGUUGUGAAUUUCAAUAUGAAAAAUAUGG
Molecule: long non-coding RNA, 2632 nt
Filed under: Eucalyptus grandis
Lineage: Eukaryota; Viridiplantae; Streptophyta; Magnoliopsida; Myrtales; Myrtaceae
Description: long non-coding RNA (EGRA_LNC004168)
Source: RNAcentral